AAUAAAUUAGCAGUUUUGGCAGUAUUCUUUCUCCCUUUUACUUCAUCUUGAUGUUGAUUAUGGUUUUUUCUAUUACGAAACGUAAUUAUUUGACAAAAUAUUUGCUUUUUGGUUGUUUUUGUUUUUGGGUUUCAGACGCAUUGCAAUGGUUGAAUUAGAGAGGAGUGAAGGAGACAUAAAUCAUAGUUUUAUGACAUUGGAAGAAAUCAGGUUAGAGAAUGAUUAAGCAUAAUAAUGGGUAAAACGAGCUAAUCCGAGAACAAGGAGAAUGCAGCAGCAGCUGUCCUUCUUACUAUUUGGACAAAUUCACCCUCUGGAAAACCCUAGCUGUUCGAAUUUCUCUACUGAUCUCACUUUGAAGAUGGUGAUGUUAAGAAAGAAGAUGUUGCAGAUCCUACUGGCAGGAGUGGUUCCUUUCCAAACGUGAGCUUCUUUCCCCCAAUUAUUUUCAAUUGAUUUUGUUAUUUUUAAGGUUCUUUGCGUUUGGUAGAUGAAAACAUGUUUAUGUCUGUCUUAAUUAAAUUAGUGUAGUAUGAAUGACUAUUGUUAGUGUAAUUUUAUUGUCUUUAGUAGUUCAGUGAUGUGUUUGGUUGGGUAUAGGAAUAGGAAAUUGCAAUUUAACGUCACAGAAAGUGUUGAAUACUGCUGGAUGGACUAUGAAUUAGAUGCAGCAAUAUAACUCAGAUGUAAUACUACUAAGUGCAGUUGGACAGGAAGCAAGAGAGGGUGUGAAAGAGCCUAGACCAGAAGUUUAUAAAGAUCAGAAUUACUAUGGAGGUAAUUUUAAUCAGAAACAGGGUGGGGAUUAGAUGGUGCAAGGUUCGAGGACGAGUGACGGCAAGGUGGAGUCUGGAUCAGAAAGAAGGGGUUAGUAUUAUCGACUGUAUAUUUCUUUGUGAUUUGAUGAUUUUUGAUUUGAUGAUUAGAUGAUGAUUAUGAUGAUGAUGGGAGAAUUGUUAAUGGUGUUACUGGACAUAUGACAGCUCUACGGAAAUGAAGGAGACUAUAACGGGAAGGGAAAUUAUGGAGUCUUAUAAAACUAGGGAAAUUAUUUUUUUCUAAUGUAUUUAUUUAACUUUGAGCUUCGUACAUCGCGUGCAUCUCUAUUAAUUUUAGAACAUUUAUUGUUUAUGCAGUCGCUCUAGACCCGAAGCUCGGGGUAGUCCUGAAUUUGUUAAAGAUGAAAACCCUGCUAAUGGAAGAUACCACUGUCGCUUUAGACUUGAGGUCGAGGAACGCCUGAUUAUCCUAAAGAUGAACUUCUAAUGGAAGAUAUCACAUGUUCAUCGUUCUAGACCUGAAACUCAGGGGAACUCCUGAUUAUGCUAAAGAUGAAGGCCUUGCUAAUGGAGGAAGAUACCACAGUCGAUCUCCUCCACCACGAGAGAGGUCGAGAUCCUAAGCAAGGAGAUGGUCACAAAUCGGUCACUUGAAGGGCUGUUUCUGGAGAGGGGACGAUAUCCUAAGCAAAGAAAUGAUCUUGAAUCAGUAUUUGUCAAGUGCAGGUUUUAGAGGAGAGCCAUAGUUGCUUAAAAGUACCCUAUUUGUGAAAAUGCAUGUAUCAACAAAUUUACAAUUGAAUUUGAUAUUGUGUUAGUGGUUUGAUGUAUUUUGAUAUCCCUUUAGAAGAGGGUUCAUAAGUGCUUAUGCUGUUGUCGAACCGUGGCUGAACUAUUUGUAUAUAGACAUGAUUUCAAGUGUGAACAUUUUGUAAAUUUUGUUAAUUUUAUGGAGACGUUCUUGAGUCA
Spinacia oleracea (spinach) is the source of this 1748-nucleotide long non-coding RNA. RefSeq lists it as uncharacterized. NCBI's taxonomy places the organism in Eukaryota, Viridiplantae, Streptophyta, Magnoliopsida, Caryophyllales, Amaranthaceae. The record is from RefSeq and is a predicted model, not a curated record. The transcript has 7 exons.